This 254-nucleotide ribosomal RNA is filed under the name uncultured bacterium. RNAcentral describes it as "partial 16S ribosomal RNA". It matches the Rfam family "Bacterial small subunit ribosomal RNA", at positions 524 to 776 of the family's 1533-position model. The record is from RNAcentral.
UACGUAGGGGGCGAGCGUUGUCCGGAUUUAUUGGGCGUAAAGAGCUCGUAGGCGGUUCGGCAAGUCGGGUGUGAAAACUCCGGGCUCAACUCGGAGACGCCACUCGAUACUGCCAUGACUCGAGUCCGGUAGGGGAGUGCGGAAUUCCUGGUGUAGCGGUGAAAUGCGCAGAUAUCAGGAGGAACACCGGUGGCGAAGGCGGCUCACUGGCCCGAUACUGACGCUGAGGCGCGAAAGCGUGGGGAGCAAACAGG